This 253-nucleotide ribosomal RNA is filed under the name uncultured bacterium. Its description in RNAcentral is "partial 16S ribosomal RNA". It matches the Rfam family "Bacterial small subunit ribosomal RNA", at positions 524 to 776 of the family's 1533-position model. The record is from RNAcentral.
GACAGAGGGUGCAAACGUUGCUCGGAAUCACUGGGCGUAAAGCGCGCGUAGGCGGCCCGGUAAGUCCGCUGUGAAAGUCAAAGGCUCAACCUUUGAAUGUCAGCGGAUACUGCCGGGCUAGAGUCCGGAAGAGGCGAGUGGAACUCCUGGUGUAGCGGUGGAAUGCGCAGAUAUCAGGAAGAACACCAACGGCGAAGGCAGCUCGCUGGGACGGAACUGACGCUGAGGCGCGAAAGCGUGGGGAGCGAACAGG